CAAUAACUACAACUUCGGCACUGAGCAUAGGCAGAGGGAGAAAAUCUUAUUUGGAGGGGCUGAGUAAAACUUAAACUUAAAAGAUAUUUCUACACGC
This is a long non-coding RNA of Gavialis gangeticus (Gharial), 97 nucleotides long. RefSeq lists it as uncharacterized. The transcript is spliced from 3 exons. The record is from RefSeq and is a predicted model, not a curated record. NCBI's taxonomy places the organism in Eukaryota, Metazoa, Chordata, Crocodylia, Gavialidae.